UACGUAGGAUGCAAGCGUUGUCCGGAAUUAUUGGGCGUAAAGAGCGCGCAGGCGGUAUGACAAGUCAGAUGUGAAAGAGGCCGGCUUAACCGGCAAGGGUCAUUUGAAACUGUCAGACUAGAGUGCAGCAGAGGAUAGUGGAAUUCCCGGUGUAGUGGUGAAAUGCGUAGAUAUCGGGAGGAACACCAGUGGCGAAGGCGGGUCUCUGGGCCGAUACUGACGCUGAGGAGCGAAAGCGUGGGGAGCGAACAGG
RNAcentral lists this ribosomal RNA (253 nucleotides) under uncultured bacterium. RNAcentral's name for it is "partial 16S ribosomal RNA". It matches the Rfam family "Bacterial small subunit ribosomal RNA", at positions 524 to 776 of the family's 1533-position model. The record is from RNAcentral.